UGAAAUGAGGAUCAGCUGGGUAGACCUAGCAUUUCAUUGAUCUCCAGAAAAGAUCUGGCUAAUUUGGCUAGCUAGGCAAUGUUCCUCAUGCAUUCUCUCUACCCCAGGUGUGCCCUUCCCAAAGCAGCAAAAAUCAAUUGAAGAGAAUGACUUUCCCAGAUGCAGGAACUUUGCUUUCAUUGGUUAAAGGCACAGCUGAGCUCUUUUGCUAGACCUUGCAGAUUUCCAGAUUCAUGGGUGCAGAACUACUUGAUUGAUCAUGCUUUAAUCAAUUUAUGAUGCUCUCAAGAAUCCUCA
RNAcentral lists this small RNA (297 nucleotides) under Propithecus coquereli (Coquerel's sifaka). RNAcentral's name for it is "7SK RNA (ENSPCOG00000006773.1)". Lineage: Eukaryota; Metazoa; Chordata; Mammalia; Primates; Indriidae. The record is from RNAcentral.